GUCCCCCCUCGUCUAGAGGCCCGGACACCGCCCUUUCACGGCGGUAACAGGGGUUCGAAUCCCCUAGGGGACGCCA
This 76-nucleotide transfer RNA is filed under the name Escherichia coli. RNAcentral describes it as "tRNA-Glu". The stretch from base 5 to 71 matches the Rfam family "tRNA". Rfam says of the family: Transfer RNA (tRNA) molecules are approximately 80 nucleotides in length. Their secondary structure includes four short double-helical elements and three loops (D, anti-codon, and T loops). Further hydrogen bonds mediate the characteristic L-shaped molecular structure. tRNAs have two regions of fundamental functional importance: the anti-codon, which is responsible for specific mRNA codon recognition, and the 3' end, to which the tRNAs corresponding amino acid is attached (by aminoacyl-tRNA synthetases). tRNAs cope with the degeneracy of the genetic code in two manners: having more than one tRNA (with a specific anti-codon) for a particular amino acid; and 'wobble' base-pairing, i.e. permitting non-standard base-pairing at the 3rd anti-codon position. Lineage: Bacteria; Pseudomonadati; Pseudomonadota; Gammaproteobacteria; Enterobacterales; Enterobacteriaceae. The record is from RNAcentral.